AUGGGGAGGCGUGGGAAGCUGGAGGUGAAGAGGAUCGUCGACGACGCUUCGCGGCGGGUGACCUUCUGCAAGCGGCGCGGCACCCUGCUGAAGAAGGCGCGUGAGCUAGCCGUGCUCUGCGACGACGACGUCAGCCUUGGCCUCGUCGUCUUUUCCAGUACCGGCAAGCUCGCCGGCGACUACUGCAGUCCGAAUACAAGCUGGAGUGAUCUCAUUCAGCGCUACGAGCGCGAGAGCACUCCCAGCACCCAGCUCCAGGUCCAGGACACAAACCAAGAUGGUGAUCAUCAUCAGCAACUGUUGGCGGAGGUGGCAAGGUUGAGGCAAGAGAUCGACCAUCUCGAGGGCAGCCUGAGGAGGCAGACCGGAGAAGAAGACCUGUUGUCAUCCGGCGUUACCGCGGCGGAGCUCCACGAUCUGCAGCACCACGUCGGGUCGGCACUGGGAAAAGUCCGUCAUAGAAAGGUGCACCUCCUGGAAGAAGAGAUGCUACUGGCCACGGCGGCGUUCCUGGAGGUGGAGGUGGACAUGGACAUGGAGGCGUCGACGUCACUGCAGCCGACGUUGCCAUAG
This 573-nucleotide ribosomal RNA is filed under the name Triticum aestivum (bread wheat). Its description in RNAcentral is "partial small subunit ribosomal RNA". The record is from RNAcentral. Lineage: Eukaryota; Viridiplantae; Streptophyta; Magnoliopsida; Poales; Poaceae.